RNAcentral lists this ribosomal RNA (509 nucleotides) under uncultured bacterium. Its description in RNAcentral is "partial 16S ribosomal RNA". It matches the Rfam family "Bacterial small subunit ribosomal RNA", at positions 29 to 523 of the family's 1533-position model. The record is from RNAcentral.
AUUGAACGCUGGCGGCAUGCCUUACACAUGCAGGUCGAACGGCAGCGGGGGAGAAGCUUGCUUUUCCUGCCGGCGAGUGGCGAACGGGUGAGUAAUACAUCGGAACGUGCCCUGUAGUGGGGGAUAACUAGUCGAAAGAUUAGCUAAUACCGCAUACGACCUGAGGGUGAAAGUGGGGGACCGCAAGGCCUCAUGCUAUAGGAGCGGCCGAUGUCUGAGUAGCUAGUUGGUGGGGUAAAGGCCUACCAAGGCGACGAUCAGUAGCUGGUCUGAGAGGACGAUCAGGCACACUGGGACUGAGACACGGCCCAGACUCCGACGGGAGGCAGCAGUGGGGAAUUUUGGACAAUGGGCGAAAGCCUGAUCCAGCAAUGCCGCGUGUGUGAGGAAGGCCUUCGGGUUAUAAAGCGCUUUUGUCCGGAAAGAAGUGCUCGUGGGUAAACAAUCCGCGAGUGUGACGGUACCAGGAGAAUAAGGUCCGGCUAAUUUCGUGCCAGCAGCCGCGGUAA